GAUGAACGCUGGCGGCGUGCCUAAUACAUGCAAGUCGAGCGAACAGACGAGGAGCUUGCUCCUCUGACGUUAGCGGCGGACGGGUGAGUAACACGAGGAUAACCUACCUAUAAGACUGGGAUAACUUCGGGAAACCGGAGCUAAUACCGGAUAAUAUAUUGAACCGCAUGGUUCAAUAGUGAAAGACGGUUUUGCUGUCACUUAUAGAUGGAUCCGCGCCGCAUUAGCUAGUUGGUAAGGUAACGGCUUACCAAGGCAACGAUGCGUAGCCGACCUGAGAGGGUGAUCGGCCACACUGGAACUGAGACACGGUCCAGACUCCUACGGGAGGCAGCAGUAGGGAAUCUUCCGCAAUGGGCGAAAGCCUGACGGAGCAACGCCGCGUGAGUGAUGAAGGUCUUCGGAUCGUAAAACUCUGUUAUUAGGGAAGAACAAAUGUGUAAGUAACUAUGCACGUCUUGACGGUACCUAAUCAGAAAGCCACGGCUAACUACGUG
RNAcentral lists this ribosomal RNA (497 nucleotides) under uncultured bacterium. RNAcentral describes it as "partial 16S ribosomal RNA". It matches the Rfam family "Bacterial small subunit ribosomal RNA", at positions 28 to 507 of the family's 1533-position model. The record is from RNAcentral.